GAUGAACGCUGGCGGCGUGCCUAACACAUGCAAGUCGAACGGAGUCCAGCCUUUAAGACCUUCGGGUCAAAGAGGGGAAGAGUGAGUGGCGGACGGGUGAGUAACACGUGGGCAACCUGGCUCAGAGAGGGGGAUAACAGAGAGAAAUAUCUGCUAAUACCGCAUAAGGACACACUGCCGCAUGGCAGGGGGUGAAAAGCGAAUGGCUAUGAGAUGGAUCCGCGUCUGAUUAGCCAGUUGGCAGGGUAAGAGCCUACCAAAGCGACGAUCAGUAGCCGAUCUGGGAACCUGAACCGCCACAAUUGGGAUGAGGCCCAGCCCCGACUCCUACGGGAGGCAGCAGUAGAGGAUAUUGCACGAUGGGGGGAAACCUGAUGCAGCGACGCCGCGUGAGUGAAGAAGUAUUUCGGUAUGUAAAGCUCUAUCAGCAGGGAAGAUAAUGACAGUACCUGAAUAAGAAGCCCCGGCUAACUACGUG
This 478-nucleotide ribosomal RNA is filed under the name uncultured bacterium. Its description in RNAcentral is "partial 16S ribosomal RNA". It matches the Rfam family "Bacterial small subunit ribosomal RNA", at positions 28 to 507 of the family's 1533-position model. The record is from RNAcentral.